Molecule: non-coding RNA, 638 nt
Organism: Prunus mume (Japanese apricot)
Lineage: Eukaryota; Viridiplantae; Streptophyta; Magnoliopsida; Rosales; Rosaceae
Source: RefSeq, a predicted model, not a curated record
AACGUCGUCGCCAGCACUCCUACGGUGCCAUAGCCGCCGUGGCACCUCUGUCAGAUGAGUAACAAGAGGGGAAAUGCACUACCAUGGUCCCAAUUUGUCCAAACGUAGCUUCUUGGUUACACUUGGUGGGAGAAAGAUCAUGAUCUCUAGUAACAUGAUAAACUACUCGCCUGUUAAGCUUCUCUUACCCCCCUAUUGUUGUUAAUUGUUUUUUAGUAUGUCAGUUGACUGAAUAUAUAGAGUUCAAUGAGUUUUAAUGUGGGGCAUAUGCAUAGAUUUAAAUGUAUGUACACAUUUAAAUACAUAUACUUAUUCCACGAUACAUGUUAAUGCCCUUGUGCAGUUGUUGAGGAGUUGUAUGUGCAAGAUGAUGGGAAUAUCAAGUCACUCAAUAACUUGAAAAUCACUUGGUUGAAGCAAUCUGAGAUCAUCAAGGAGCCAUAUUUCUGUUCUUUGAGGAAUUUACUAUUAUACUUCCCAGGGAUUAGCUCCCUAUGCAUCACCGACUUGCUGCAUUAUAUGCCCUGUAGAGCAUUAUAGCAGCUGUAUCUCUGCAGAUGAAAAUGGGAACCGCCUCUUCCUUUCUGACAGCAAUCAUCAUCGGAUUAUUGUAUUUAUGGAAACGGAACGAUUCUGGA